UCUAUGCUGCCGUCUUCUUCAGUACGAAAGGACAAAAAAGACAAGGCCAAUGCUAAAAGCACGCCCUACCCAACAUGCUGAACUAAACUAAAGCAUAUGACCGCACCAACUCAGCCAAAGACAAUGGCUUU
Molecule: ribosomal RNA, 131 nt
Filed under: Scincopus fasciatus
Lineage: Eukaryota; Metazoa; Chordata; Lepidosauria; Squamata; Scincidae
Description: partial 16S ribosomal RNA
Source: RNAcentral